UACGUAGGGAGCAAGCGUUGUCCGGAAUCAUUGGGCGUAAAGCGCGCGUAGGUGGCCCGGUAAGUCCGCUCUGAAAGUCACAGGCUCAACCUGUGAAAGCGGGUGGAUACUGCCGGGCUAGAGUCCGGAAGAGGCGAGUGGAAUUCCUGGUGUAGCGGUGGAAUGCGCAGAUAUCAGGAGGAACACCAACGGCGAAGGCAGCUCGCUGGGACGGUACUGACACUGAGGCGCGAAGGCUAGGGGAGCGAACGGG
RNAcentral lists this ribosomal RNA (253 nucleotides) under uncultured bacterium. Its description in RNAcentral is "partial 16S ribosomal RNA". It matches the Rfam family "Bacterial small subunit ribosomal RNA", at positions 524 to 776 of the family's 1533-position model. The record is from RNAcentral.